UUGAUUAAUAAAAAUUAUUAAAUUUACAUGUAAAAAAAAUAUUUUUAUAUUUUAGUAUUAUUUUAUGAAAAAAUGAUUAAUAUUAUAGUGGAUUAGUAUAGUGGUAGAACUUUAAUAUAAUAAUUAAAGAAAAAUUUAAUUUUUGUACCUUGUGUAUCAGGGUUUAUUAAUUUAGGUUUAUUAAGAUAGAAUUCUCGAUUUUAAAAGAGCGAAUUAUUUAUAUAUUUUAUUGUAAAAUAAAUAUUUAUAAUAAAUAAUUAGUAAUGAAAUGUUAUUCGUUUUUAAAUAUAUCUAGUUUUUAAAGAAAAAAGUUCAAUUUUAUUUGUAUAAAUAUUUUAUUUUAAGUAAUAAAAAUAGUAUUUUUUAUAAAUUAAAUUAUAAGGGAUAAGCUUUAUAAUUGAAAAUUAUAAGUUAAUUAAAUUAUUUUAAUUUGUAGGAUUAGUAAUUUCUUUCAUUUAAUUUGUUAUAAUUAAUUAAAAAAAAGCAAAAAUUUAUAUUGGCUUUAAGUUUUUUAUUUAAAUAUUAAAUUUAAUUAUAUAGUUUAAGUAAUAAUGAUAAAAUUAGUAUAAUAUUUUGUUUUAAAUUAUUAUUAUUAUUAGGUUAUAAUAAGGAAUUCGGCAAAUGUAUUUUUCGCCUGUUUAUUAAAAACAUGUCUUUUUGAGUAUUAUUUAAAGUCUGGCCUGCCCACUGAUUUAUUUAAAUGGCCGCAGUAUUUUGACUGUGCAAAGGUAGCAUAAUCAUUAGUUUUUUAAUUAAGAACUGGAAUGAAAGGUUGAACGAGAAAAUAACUGUCUCUUUAUAAAUUAUUUAAAAUUUUAUUUUUAAGUUAAAAAGCUUAACUAAUAUUAAAAGACGAGAAGACCCUAUAGAGUUUUAUAUAAUAAUAAAUAAUUAUUUAAAUAGUAUUAUUAAAUGAUUAUUUAUUAUUAUAUUUAGUUGGGGUGAUUGAAAAAUUUAAUAAACUUUUUUUUUAUAAAAACAUUAAUAUAUGAUUGGUUGAUCCAUUAAUAAUGAUUAUAAGAUUAAAUUACCUUAGGGAUAACAGCGUUAUUUCUUUGAAGAGUUCAAAUCGAUAAAGAAGUUUGCGACCUCGAUGUUGGAUUAAAAUUAAAUUUUGGUGUAGAAGCUAAAAGAUUAGGUCUGUUCGACCUUUAAAAUUUUACAUGAUCUGAGUUUAAACCGGUGUGAGCCAGGUUGGUUUCUAUCUUUAAUUAAUUUUAAUAUUUUAGUACGAAAGGACCAAAUAUUUAUAAAAUUUAUUAAUAAAUGAAUAUUAUUAAUUA
This 1283-nucleotide ribosomal RNA is filed under the name Staphylinidae sp. BMNH 1274220. RNAcentral describes it as "large subunit ribosomal RNA". The stretch from base 1038 to 1196 matches the Rfam family "Archaeal large subunit ribosomal RNA", at positions 2542 to 2701 of the family's 2987-position model. Lineage: Eukaryota; Metazoa; Arthropoda; Insecta; Coleoptera; Staphylinidae. The record is from RNAcentral.